AAGCUCGUAGUUGAAUUUCGCGGUUAGUAGGUUGGUCAUGCCUCUGGUAUGUACUGGUCUCACUGAUUCCUCCUUCCUGAUGAACCGUGAUGCCAUUAAUUUGGUGUUGCGGGGAAUUUGGACUGUUACUUUGAAAAAAUUAGAGUGUUUAAAGCAAGCUAACGCUUGAAUACAUUAGCAUGGAAUAAUGAAAUAGGACGUUCGAUCCUAUUUUGUUGGUUUCUAGGAUUGACGUAAUGAUUAAUAGGGAUAGUUGGGGGCAUUAGUAUUCAAUUGUCAGAGGUGAAAUUCUUGGAUUUAUUGAAGACUAACUACUGCGAAAGCAUUUGCCAAGGAUGUUUUCAUUAAUCAAGAACGAAAGUUAGGGGAUCGAAGACGAUCAGAUACCGUCGUAGUCUUAACCAUAAACUAUGCCGACUAGGGAUCGGAUGAUGUUAAUUUUUUAAUGACUCAUUCGGCGCCUUACGGGAAACCAAAGUGUUUGGGUUCCGGGGGGAGUAUGGUCGCAAGGCUGAAACUUAAAGGAAUUGACGGAAGGGCACCACCAGGGGUGGAGCCUGCGGCUUAAUUUGACUCAACACGGGGAAA
RNAcentral lists this ribosomal RNA (588 nucleotides) under uncultured Glomus. RNAcentral's name for it is "SSU rRNA". It matches the Rfam family "Eukaryotic small subunit ribosomal RNA", at positions 624 to 1213 of the family's 1831-position model. Lineage: Eukaryota; Fungi; Glomeromycota; Glomeromycetes; Glomerales; Glomeraceae. The record is from RNAcentral.